GUACAAAGUACUCACGAAGGAAAAUGCUGUCCACAUCCAGAAAUGAUCAAUGGAGCCAGCAGUGCAAGCUUGAUGACCUGAGGCCAAAACGCCGUCCUCCACAAAAAGAACUUGGACCAAACUCAAGAAAGUGCUCAGUGCACCAAAUCUCUCAGCAGGGCCAGAUGUCUCAAGUCAAAGCAGAGCCUCAAUCGAGCUCUUGCUCCAUAUCAGCAUCCUAGAGCACAAAGUGCCAUAACCUGGAUUCAAACCAAGACUGAAGUUGUUUUGUAUGUGCUUUGUAUGUUAUGCUGAUGAGUACAUGAAGGGAGACGUGGCUCCUAAUGGCUGAGAAAAUGCUGAAUGCAAUGCUACUAUAAUUGGUUCCCAAGAUUCUUUGAAGAGAGAUAUGAAGAAAGAAGAGAGAUUUUUGAAUGACAGACUAGAGCAGUUGGAAUCUCAGAUGUGUAGGAGGACUGACCCCAUCAUGCUUCUUGACCUUUAGGUUUGAGAUAGUAGAGAUGGCUGAGACAGGACCUCCCCUGGGUGAGAUUGCUCACCUUCUCCUAGUCCAAACUGAGAUCUUAUUGAACUCCUUGCUAAACUUGCUCUGUGUUCUUUUGUAGAAUUUCUCUGAUUUUUUUUUGUUGUUUUGCUUGCAUAAAUGUGUUUACUCAAUAUUCGCUAUCUGGGGGUAAUCAUUUGUUUAACCUGUGGGAAGGGGCUAGGUUCUUGAGUUUAAGCUAAAGGCUGGUCUUCCCCUUAAGAGUAACAAAGGAAAUGACCUUUCUUCUGAACCCAACUCAGAUUCCUAGAACAGAGAGAUUUGAGGGAUGACAGGUAGAUAUGAUUCUAGCCCAACACCUGUCCUGGAGAUAGGAGGGCUUGCCACCACAGCAGUCCUGGACCCUGCCUUCCCCUCUUCCAGCUAGCAUGGUAGCAGUUUACUUAAGCCCUUCUCUUACUCUCCUCAGAGGAGACCUAGACCUCAAAUCAUAUCUAACCAGGUCACUCGAGCUGCAUCUAUGUAUUUGGAAAACUUAUACACACAUAUCUUAUGCUACUAGACUGAAACCGUUUGAAGAUAAAAAAUAUAUCUUACCAAUUAACAAGCAUUUUUUAAGCACCUACUAUGUA
Molecule: long non-coding RNA, 1116 nt
Organism: Vombatus ursinus (common wombat)
Lineage: Eukaryota; Metazoa; Chordata; Mammalia; Diprotodontia; Vombatidae
Exons: 3
Source: RefSeq, a predicted model, not a curated record